Molecule: ribosomal RNA, 711 nt
Filed under: Lutibacter sp.
Lineage: Bacteria; Pseudomonadati; Bacteroidota; Flavobacteriia; Flavobacteriales; Flavobacteriaceae
Description: bacterial SSU rRNA
Rfam family: Bacterial small subunit ribosomal RNA
Source: RNAcentral
GAUGAACGCUAGCGGCAGGCUUAACACAUGCAAGUCGAGGGGUAACAGGGGAAAGCUUGCUUUUUUGCUGACGACCGGCGCACGGGUGAGUAACGCGUAUAGAACCUACCUUUUACAGGGGAAUAGCCCAGAGAAAUUUGGAUUAAUACCCUAUAGUAUUAUUGAGUGGCAUCAUUUAAUAAUUAAACAUUUAUGGGUAAAAGAUGGCUAUGCGUUCUAUUAGCUAGAUGGUAAGGUAACGGCUUACCAUGGCAACGAUAGAUAGGGGUCCUGAGAGGGAGAUCCCCCACACUGGUACUGAGACACGGACCAGACUCCUACGGGAGGCAGCAGUGAGGAAUAUUGGACAAUGGAGGCAACUCUGAUCCAGCCAUGCCGCGUGCAGGAAGACGGCCCUAUGGGUUGUAAACUGCUUUUAUACGGGAAGAAACCCAACUACGUGUAGUUGGCUGACGGUACCGUAAGAAUAAGCACCGGCUAACUCCGUGCCAGCAGCCGCGGUAAUACGGAGGGUGCAAGCGUUAUCCGGAAUCAUUGGGUUUAAAGGGUCCGUAGGCGGGCUAAUAAGUCAGGGGUGAAAUCCAACAGCUUAACUGUUGAACUGCCUUUGAUACUGUUAGUCUUGAAUUAUAUGGAAGUAGAUAGAAUGUGUAGUGUAGCGGUGAAAUGCUUAGAGAUUACACAGAAUACCGAUUGCGAAGGCAGUCUACU